This is a long non-coding RNA of Felis catus (domestic cat), 2763 nucleotides long. RefSeq lists it as uncharacterized. The record is from RefSeq and is a predicted model, not a curated record. The transcript has 8 exons. NCBI's taxonomy places the organism in Eukaryota, Metazoa, Chordata, Mammalia, Carnivora, Felidae.
AGCCUGCUUUGGAUUCUUUCUCCCUCUCUCUCUGCCCCUCGCUCACUUACAUUAUCACGCGCACGCACGCCUAUCCCCUCACCCCCCAAAGUAAAUAACCAAACAUUAAAAAAACGUAAGGGUGUGAAAAACGGGCUUUGAAACUUUUAACUACAUUUCCUGGACGUCACUGUAUGACAGUCCUGCCUUAUCUGCAGUUUCACUUUCUGCAGAUUCGCUAUCGUCGGUUUAGGUUACCUGGCAUGAACUGUGGUCUCUGAGCCAACGGUCCUUCUGACGAAUCAUCAGAGGUUCAAUUGUAGCAUAACUCUACACUACAGUGCCUACGUCAUUCCCCUCACUUGGUCACGUAGGCAUUCUAUCAUCUCACAGCGUCAUAAGGAAGCCUUGCGAGACCCUGAACGGAGAAACUAGCAGAGAUCACCAGGACUUCUCAGCUCCAGGACUGUAUUUUGUCAUCUCACGUCAUCACAAGAAGAAGGGUGGAUACAGUACAACAAGAAAGAUUAUUUGGAAAUUGAACGGAGAAUGAAGGAGUGGCCAGCAUGGUGGCAGACCUCACAAAUAGGAGACCAGUUAGUUUGGAGGCUAUAUUUCCUGAUAUCUUUGGACUUUGAAAGCAUCGUCAUUACGGUUGCUGGAAGGCAAUGCUAGCCUUGACAGAGGACAAUGUGAAGAAAUCACCUGGGGAAAUGGCAGAGGUACCUAGAGUCGAUGUGGAUGUGAAAAGGCAAGAGCACACAUUUGUCAUCCAAGGGGAUACUUCUGAAUGUUUUUCCACUGAAACAAUGAUCCCUCUUCCAUGCGUGGCACACUCCUGAGAAAAGGCCAGUUCUAUGAGGUAAAAUUUACGAGAUGCCAUGGGAAGGUGCUAAACACCUGUCAGUCUACAUAGAGAAGAUGAUAAGCAAGUAAAGUGAAGAGUGCAAAAGAUGGUCCAUCAUUGGGUAAGUGUUAUCUAUAAGUGACAAUUCCUGAACUAAUAUUACACUGCAUGUUAACCAACUAGAAUGCAAACAAAUUGAUACAAAAAAAUAAAUUCUAGGUAAGGAUGAAAUAAAGUUAGAUGAUUGCCUCUGAAAGAUAUAUAUCUUUCAACUGAGGCACUUAUGUGUUUCUAGUAGUGAUUUUAGUUAAGGGGAAAACGUCUAUAAGUUAUUUGUGUUUAAAGGAAAAUGUCUAGAAGGUAUUUGUGUUUAAAACCAUUUGCCUUUAUCUCUUAUUAUUCUUGUAAUUUUUCUGAAAUGUAGAAGGCACAUAUCAAUACCUGUAAUUGCUGAUACGUUGCAUAUACAUAACUAAAGCAUAUAUACCCACUAAAUUAAAACCAAAUUUAUGUGUGCAUCUAUAUCUGUCAUGAGAUGAUUUCAACUGGCGAUAGAGUAACUGCAUUGCUUAGGCCACAAGAAGCAGCCCGUCAAUGGCCCGCAGACUCAGAAGGGAAGUGGUAUUUCCUUGGAAUUCAUAGAUCUGCCAUUACGUGUCCUCAUUUACUCACUCUCACUCAGCCCCUAUUAAAUAUCUGCGUAUACUUGGCAUUGUUUUAGAUGCUUCAGAUGUAAAGAAACACAUAGAUUUUUGUCUUUCUUCAGAUAUCUGAGAAACCAUUGGGGCUUUGACUGUAUGCCAUUUGUAAAUACAUAUGGAAAGCUAUCUGUGAUUACAAGAAGACCUGGGAGUGAUGUAGACAAAGUUCUGAAAGGCAAAUGAGAGCCUUUUGGAGCCAGUUAUACCUAAGACAAAUGGCAAAGGAUAGAGCAGAAAUCAGAUGCACAGAAAAGAAAAGGGAAGUGGUCCAGGUCACAGGGUUUUGCAACCUCAGCACUGUUGACAUUGUGGGCCAAUUAUUUCUUUGUGUGUAGGCAUUCUCACAUAUUCCCAGCCAUUGACAAAUGACACUUGGGGGUAGAGUUACCAGAUUUAGCAAACAGAGAUAAACACUAUAGCAAAUAAAUAUAAGACAUCAAUUCAAUUUGCAUUUUGGACAAAAAACAUUUUUUUUUAGUUUAAGUAUGUCCCAUAUUAUGUAUUGUUUGUCUGAAAUUCAAAUUUAAUGGGCAUCCUGUAUUUUUUCUGGCAACCCUAACUGCCUUAAAUUGCCUUAAAUUGGUUGAAAACUCUGAGUUAGAGGAUAACAUGAUCACAUUUUAUAUUGGAUAGCAUGAUCAAAUGUUAUAUUUGAUCCAUCAAUUUUUGGAGUUCAUCAGUUGGGUUUGAGGGACAAUGAGUUGACUAGGCUUUGGCAUAACCUUUUCAAUAGAUGUGUAUGUCCUCUGUGCCUUGGACUGUUCUAGGUAGAGGGUAUAGAGUACAGACAGAAGAGCAAAAUUCUCUGUCUGAUGGAGCUUACGUUAUCAUGAGGAGAAGACAACUAGUAAAUACAUAGCUGAGUAAAUUAUAAGAUCCAUCAGGCAGGAGAGACUAGGUUUUGGUGCUGUGGAAUCAAGCAAAACCCAAAAUCUCUAUAACUAAAAACGGUAGAGGAUUUUCCCCUGUGUUACAUGUCUAUCACAGAUGGCCACACCUGUCCUUCAAAUGACCUUUCCUCUAGCAGCCAAACUGACAGAGCAGCCUCUAUCUGCAAUAUUUGUGCUUGUCCUCAGUGUGGAAAAUGAGACUGUAGCAGAAUAUAUGCUGACUCUUAAGAUUUCUUAGCCAAAGCAACCACAUUUUUCUAAGUUGAGUGGGGUGGUAUAAAACUCCUACUGAUACAUGGUAACAGAAGAGAUAGAGCUUUAAAGAAGCUAAUGGAGGGGCGCCUGG